This 131-nucleotide small nuclear RNA is filed under the name Rhinolophus ferrumequinum (greater horseshoe bat). RNAcentral's name for it is "U4 spliceosomal RNA (ENSRFEG00010008609.1)". It matches the Rfam family "U4 spliceosomal RNA". From Rfam's summary of the family: U4 small nuclear RNA (U4 snRNA) is a component of the major U2-dependent spliceosome. The structure of U4 snRNA from yeast and human has been reported. U4 snRNA presents a k-turn RNA motif in the 5p-SL related to recognition of Snu13 protein. The record is from Rfam by way of RNAcentral. Lineage: Eukaryota; Metazoa; Chordata; Mammalia; Chiroptera; Rhinolophidae.
CGCUUUGCGCAGUGGCAGUAUCGUAGCCAAUGAGGUUUAUCCGAGGCGCGAUUAUUGCUAAUUGAAAAAAAGCAAAAACUAGAAAAACCCCAUUUGAACCAAUUGCCAUUUUUCAAUCCUCCUAGAAAGGG